UACGGAGGAUGCGAGCGUUAUCCGGAUUUAUUGGGUUUAAAGGGUGCGUAGGCGGACGCUUAAGUCAGCGGUAAAAUUGCGGGGCUCAACCUCGUCGAGCCGUUGAAACUGGGUGCCUUGAGUGGGCGAGAAGUACGCGGAAUGCGUGGUGUAGCGGUGAAAUGCUUAGAGGUCAUACAGAGCACCGAUUGCGAAGGCAGCUUACCAAUCUAUAUCUGACGUUGAGGCACGAAAGCGUGGGGAGCAAACAGG
RNAcentral lists this ribosomal RNA (252 nucleotides) under uncultured bacterium. RNAcentral describes it as "partial 16S ribosomal RNA". It matches the Rfam family "Bacterial small subunit ribosomal RNA", at positions 524 to 776 of the family's 1533-position model. The record is from RNAcentral.